AUGACGAAGGUGAGAAGACCGGAGACAGAGCUUGUGAAGCCCAGGUUUUGCAACGUUGAUGUUGUGGCUCGGAUUCAAUUGCAGAAUCAUUAUGCUUCACAUUUUGAUGCUAAAGGGGUGUUAGGAAUUAGUUUCAGUAGUUUGGAAUUUUAUGUUAUAAGAGUUAAGAGGCUUUUUGGACAGUUGGCUAGGGUUUAUUUGUGA
Non-coding RNA from Vicia faba (fava bean), 204 nucleotides. Lineage: Eukaryota; Viridiplantae; Streptophyta; Magnoliopsida; Fabales; Fabaceae. The record is from the annotation of a GenBank genome assembly.